This 495-nucleotide ribosomal RNA is filed under the name uncultured bacterium. RNAcentral describes it as "bacterial SSU rRNA". It matches the Rfam family "Bacterial small subunit ribosomal RNA", at positions 29 to 518 of the family's 1533-position model. The record is from RNAcentral.
AUGAACGCUAGCGACAGGCCUAACACAUGCAAGUCGAGGGGCAGCACAAGGAGCAAUCUGAGGUGGCGACCGGCGCACGGGUGAGUAACACGUAUGCAACCUGCCUGUAAGCGGGGAAUAACCCGUUGAAAGACGGACUAAUACCGCAUAAUACUAAAUUACUGCAUGGUAAUUUAUUUAAACAUUUAUGGCUUACAGAUGGGCAUGCGCAUGAUUAGCUAGUUGGAGAGGUAACGGCUCCCCAAGGCAAUGAUCAUUAGGGGUUCUGAGAGGAAGGUCCCCCACACUGGUACUGAGACACGGACCAGACUCCUACGGGAGGCAGCAGUGAGGAAUAUUGGUCAAUGGACGAGAGUCUGAACCAGCCAAGUCGCGUGCAGGAAGAAUGUCCCUAUGGAUUGUAAACUGCUUUUGCAGGGGAAUAAAGUGCAUCACGUGUGAUGUUUUGUAUGUACUCUGCGAAUAAGGAUCGGCUAACUCCGUGCCAGCAGCCGC